RNAcentral lists this ribosomal RNA (1789 nucleotides) under Pinus taeda (loblolly pine). RNAcentral describes it as "SSU rRNA". It matches the Rfam family "Eukaryotic small subunit ribosomal RNA". Lineage: Eukaryota; Viridiplantae; Streptophyta; Pinopsida; Pinales; Pinaceae. The record is from RNAcentral.
CCUGGUUGAUCCUGCUAGUAAUCAUAUGCUUGUCUCAAAGAUUAAGCCAUGCAUGUCUAAGUAUGAACUAAUUCAGACUGUGAAACUGCGGAUGGCUCAUUAAAUCAGUUAUAGUUUUUUUGAUGGUACCAUAUUACUCGGAUAACCGUAGUAAUUAUGGAGCUAAUACGUGCACCAAGUCCUGACUCUUUGGAAGGGAUGCAUUGUUUAGAUAAAAGGCCGGCGCGAGCUUGCCCACUUCUUCAGUGAAUCAUGAUAACUCGACGGAUCGCACAACCCUUGUGCUGGUGAUGCUUCAUUCAAAUUUCUGCCCUAUUAACUUUCGAUGGUAGGAUAGAGGCCUAACAUGGUGGUGAUGGGUGACAGAGAAUUAGGGUUUGAUUCCGGAGAGGGAGCCUGAGAAACAACUACCACAUCCAAGGAAGGCAGCAGGUGCGCAAAUUACCCAAUCUUGACAUGGGGAGGUAGUGACAAUAAAUAACAAUAUUGGGCUCAUCGAGUAUGGUAAUUGGAAUGAGUACAAUCUAAAUCCCUUGACGAGGAUCCAUUGGAGGGUAAGUCUGGUGCCAACAACCGCAGUAAUUCCAGCUCCAAUAGCAUAUAUUUAAGUUGUUGCAGUUAAAAAGCUCGUAGUUGGAUCUUGGGUCGUAAAGGUCGGUCUGCCUACUCGGUGUGCACUUGCCCUUCCAUCCCUUUUGUUGACGGUGUGCUCCUAGCCUUAAUUGGCUGGGUCAUGGCUUUGGUGUUGUUACUUUGAAAAAAUUAGAGUGCUCAAAGAAACUGCAUGCUCUGAAUACAUUAGCAUGGAAUAACGUGAUAGGAGUCUGGUCCUAUUGUGUUGGCCUUUAGGAUUGGAGUAAUGAUUAAUAAGGACUAUCGAGGGCAUUCAUAUUUCAUUGUUAGAAGUGAAAUUCUUGGAUUUAUGAAAGAUGGACCACUGCAAAAGCAUUUGCCAAGGAUUUUUUCAUUAAUCAAGAAUGAAACUUAGGGGCUCGAAGAUGAUCAAAUACUGCCCUAGUCUCAACCAUAAACGAUGCCAACCAGGGAUCGACGGAUGUUGCUCUAAGGACUCCGCCAACACCUUCUGAGAAAUUAGAGUGUUUGAGUUCUGGGGGGAGUAUGGUUGCAAGGCUGAAACUUAAAGGAAUUGACGCAAGGGCACCACCAGGAGUGGAACCUGCGACUUAAUUUGACUCAACACGAGGAAACUUACCAGGUCCAGACAUAGUAAGGAUUGACAUAUUGAGAGCUAUUUCUUGAUUCUAUGGGUGGUGGUGCAUGGUCGUUCUUAGUUGGUGGAGCCAUUUGUUAGGUUAAUUCUGAUAACGAAUGAGACCUCAGCCUGCUAACUAGCUAUGUGGAGGUUCCCCUUCAUGGCCAGCUUCUUAGAGGGACUAUGGCCAUUUAGGCCAUGGAAUUUUGAGGCAAUAAUAGGUCUGUGAUGCCCUUAGAUGUUCUGGAAAACACGCGCGCUACACUGAUGCAUCCAACAAGUUCUUCUUCCUGGUUCGAGAGGAUCGGGAAAUAUUCUCAAAUUGCAUUGUGAUGGGGAUAGACCAUUGCAAUUAUUGGUUUUCAACGAGGAAUUCCUAGUAAGCGCGUGUCAUCAACUUAUGUUUAUUACGUCCAUGCCCUUUGUACACACCGCCCGUCGCUCCUACUGAUUGAAUGAUCCAGUGAAGUGUUCGGAUUGCGUUGAUGAUGGAGGUUCGCCACUGUCGACGUCAUGAGAAGUUGAGUAGAGAAAGGAGAAGUCAUAACAAGGUUACCAUAGGUGAACCUACGGUAG